RNAcentral lists this ribosomal RNA (784 nucleotides) under Cupriavidus necator H850. Its description in RNAcentral is "partial 16S ribosomal RNA". It matches the Rfam family "Bacterial small subunit ribosomal RNA". Lineage: Bacteria; Pseudomonadati; Pseudomonadota; Betaproteobacteria; Burkholderiales; Burkholderiaceae. The record is from RNAcentral.
GAACGCUUGUGGCAUGCCUUACACAUGCAAGUCGAACGGCAGCACGGGCUUCGGCCUGGUGGCGAGUGGCGAACGGGUGAGUAAUACAUCGGAACGUGCCCUGUAGUGGGGGAUAACUAGUCGAAAGACUUAGCUAAUACCGCAUACGUCCUACGNNNNNNGCAACCCUGACCCAGCAAUGCCGCGUGUGUGAAGAAGGCCUUCGGGUUGUAAAGCACUUUUGCCCGGAAAGAAAUGGCUCUGGUUAAUACCUGGGGUCGAUGACGGUACGCAGGCGGUUUUGUAAGACAGGCGUGAAAUCCCCGAGCUCAACUUGGGAAUGGCGCUUGUAACUGCAAGGCUAGAGUAUGUCAGAGGGGGGUAGAAUUCCACGUGUAGCAGUGAAAUGCGUAGAGAUGUGGAGGAAUACCGAUGGCGAAGGCAGCCCCCUGGGACGUCACUGACGCUCAUGCACGAGCUGGAGCAACAGGAUUAGAUACCCUGGUAGUCCACGCCCUAAACGAUGUCAACUAGUUGUUGGGGAUUCAUUUCUUCAGUAACGUAGCUAACGCGUNNNNNNNNAACGCACGUAGUCCGGAUCGAGUCUGCAACUCGACUGCGUGAAGCUGGAAUCGCUAGUAAUCGCGGAUCAGCAUGCCGCGGUGAAUACGUUCCCGGGUCUUGUACACACCGCCCGUCACACCAUGGGAGUGGGUUUUACCAGAAGUAGUUAGCCUAACCGCAAGGAGGGCGAUUACCACGGCAGGGUUCAUGACUGGGGUGAAGUCGUAACAAGGUAGCCGUA